This 72-nucleotide transfer RNA is filed under the name Loxodonta africana (African savanna elephant). It matches the Rfam family "tRNA". From Rfam's summary of the family: Transfer RNA (tRNA) molecules are approximately 80 nucleotides in length. Their secondary structure includes four short double-helical elements and three loops (D, anti-codon, and T loops). Further hydrogen bonds mediate the characteristic L-shaped molecular structure. tRNAs have two regions of fundamental functional importance: the anti-codon, which is responsible for specific mRNA codon recognition, and the 3' end, to which the tRNAs corresponding amino acid is attached (by aminoacyl-tRNA synthetases). tRNAs cope with the degeneracy of the genetic code in two manners: having more than one tRNA (with a specific anti-codon) for a particular amino acid; and 'wobble' base-pairing, i.e. permitting non-standard base-pairing at the 3rd anti-codon position. The record is from Rfam by way of RNAcentral. Lineage: Eukaryota; Metazoa; Chordata; Mammalia; Proboscidea; Elephantidae.
UCCUGCGUGGUGCAAAUGGUUAACACACUCAGCUAUUAACCGAAAGGUUGGUGGUUCAAAUCCACCCAGGAG